This 62-nucleotide transfer RNA is filed under the name Urocitellus parryii (Arctic ground squirrel). RNAcentral describes it as "Spermophilus parryii (Arctic ground squirrel) tRNA". It matches the Rfam family "tRNA", at positions 6 to 65 of the family's 71-position model. From Rfam's summary of the family: Transfer RNA (tRNA) molecules are approximately 80 nucleotides in length. Their secondary structure includes four short double-helical elements and three loops (D, anti-codon, and T loops). Further hydrogen bonds mediate the characteristic L-shaped molecular structure. tRNAs have two regions of fundamental functional importance: the anti-codon, which is responsible for specific mRNA codon recognition, and the 3' end, to which the tRNAs corresponding amino acid is attached (by aminoacyl-tRNA synthetases). tRNAs cope with the degeneracy of the genetic code in two manners: having more than one tRNA (with a specific anti-codon) for a particular amino acid; and 'wobble' base-pairing, i.e. permitting non-standard base-pairing at the 3rd anti-codon position. The record is from Rfam by way of RNAcentral. Lineage: Eukaryota; Metazoa; Chordata; Mammalia; Rodentia; Sciuridae. RNAcentral also lists the same sequence under 2 other names.
UGUAGCUUAAGAGGUAGAGCACUCGCCUAGCAAGCGUGAGGCUCUGAGUUCAAUCCUCAGCA